This 465-nucleotide ribosomal RNA is filed under the name uncultured bacterium. RNAcentral's name for it is "partial 16S ribosomal RNA". It matches the Rfam family "Bacterial small subunit ribosomal RNA", at positions 28 to 507 of the family's 1533-position model. The record is from RNAcentral.
GACGAACGCUGGCGGCGUGCUUAACACAUGCAAGUCGUACGGUAAGGCCCUUUCGGGGGUACACGAGUGGCGAACGGGUGAGUAACACGUGAGUAACCUGCCCACAACUUGGGGAUAACGCUAGGAAACUGGUGCUAAUACUGGAUAUGUGCUCCUGCUGCAUGGUGGGGGUUGGAAAGCUCCGGCGGUUGUGGAUGGACUCGCGGCCUAUCAGCUUGUUGGUGGGGUAGUGGCCUACCAAGGCGGCGACGGGUAGCCGGCCUGAGAGAGUGACCGGCCACAUUGAGACUGAGGUGCGGCCCAGACUCCUACGGGAGGAAGAAGUGGGGAAGAUUGAACAAUGGGCGCAGGCCUGAUGCAGCAACGCCGCGUGCGGGAUGACGGCCUUGGGGUUGUAAACCGCUUUCAGCAGGGACGAAGCUUUUUGUGACGGUACCUGCAGAAGAAGCACCGGCUAACUACGUG